GCCCGGAUAGCUCAGUCGGUAGAGCAGGGGAUUGAAAAUCCCCGUGUCCGUGGCUCGAUUCCGCGUCCGGGCACCA
This 76-nucleotide transfer RNA is filed under the name Spongiibacteraceae bacterium. Its description in RNAcentral is "tRNA-Phe". It matches the Rfam family "tRNA". Rfam says of the family: Transfer RNA (tRNA) molecules are approximately 80 nucleotides in length. Their secondary structure includes four short double-helical elements and three loops (D, anti-codon, and T loops). The record is from RNAcentral. Lineage: Bacteria; Pseudomonadati; Pseudomonadota; Gammaproteobacteria; Cellvibrionales; Spongiibacteraceae.